This is a long non-coding RNA of Carassius auratus (goldfish), 296 nucleotides long. RefSeq lists it as uncharacterized. The record is from RefSeq and is a predicted model, not a curated record. Lineage: Eukaryota; Metazoa; Chordata; Actinopteri; Cypriniformes; Cyprinidae. The transcript is spliced from 3 exons.
UACGGCAGUGCAGAGGAUUCAAUGCUAAAGUAGAGAAGCGUCUGAGGGAGACGGUGCAGUUUGGGGUUGAGGGGAGCAGCACGUUCCUGGAGUGCCAGCCAAGAUCUCCGCAGGCCUCCGUCAAAUGGCUCCACCAGAAGGACGGCAAGCGAAAAGCACUCAGUCGAGACAAAGAUGUCUUGAAGACUGGUCAUGGCAUCCUGCUGAAGUCUCUCACCCAAUUGGAUGCCGGCCUUUACCACUGCCUGGCAACCGAGAACAACUUCAAACACACAGUGGCACGCAUCUCCUUACGG